CGAGAGAGAGCUUGCUUUCUCGAGCGAGUGGCGAACGGGUGAGUAACGCGUGAGGAACCUGCCUCAAAGAGGGGGACAACAGUUGGAAACGACUGCUAAUACCGCAUAAGCCCACGACCCGGCAUCGGGUAGAGGGAAAAGGAGCAAUCCGCUUUGAGAUGGCCUCGCGUCCGAUUAGCUAGUUGGUGAGGUAACGGCCCACCAAGGCGACGAUCAGUAGCCGGUCUGAGAGGAUGAACGGCCACAUUGGGACUGAGAUACGGCCCAAACUCC
This 273-nucleotide ribosomal RNA is filed under the name uncultured Faecalibacterium sp. RNAcentral describes it as "partial 16S ribosomal RNA". It matches the Rfam family "Bacterial small subunit ribosomal RNA", at positions 69 to 339 of the family's 1533-position model. The record is from RNAcentral. Lineage: Bacteria; Bacillati; Bacillota; Clostridia; Eubacteriales; Oscillospiraceae.